AAGUCGUAACAAGGUUUCCGUAGGUGAACCUGCGGAAGGAUCAUUAACACGUGUAUUCAUCCACACGUAUCAACCAAAUCGCGAACUGUGUGUUUUUAAAACUACCUGUCUUAUUGUCGAAUGUUGAGUGAUGGGUGAGGGAAUGGUGUGAGACUUCGGUUUCUAACUCAUCUGUCUACGGUCCGUCUGAGGCCGAGCUCGCUCGAUGAUAGUACUCUUCUUUCUGGUUGCGGGCCUGCACCUUGGCUUGUGGCUGGAUUGUCACUUUUAUUUUACCAUUUAUUUACCCCUUUUUAUAUAUUUCUUACUGAUUUUUGUACAUUCCUGCGAAUUCCUGGCUUUUCUCUUUACUGAGAGAGGCUGGUUGAGUUUGCUUGGCAAUGUCGACACACAUUAACAUUAACACAACUCUUAGCAACGGAUAUCUUGGUUCUC
RNAcentral lists this unclassified non-coding RNA (435 nucleotides) under fungal sp. Its description in RNAcentral is "partial internal transcribed spacer region". The stretch from base 1 to 46 matches the Rfam family "Eukaryotic small subunit ribosomal RNA", at positions 1786 to 1831 of the family's 1831-position model. Lineage: Eukaryota; Fungi. The record is from RNAcentral.